Molecule: ribosomal RNA, 427 nt
Filed under: uncultured bacterium
Lineage: Bacteria
Description: partial 16S ribosomal RNA
Rfam family: Bacterial small subunit ribosomal RNA
Source: RNAcentral
UGGGGAAUUUUGGACAAUGGGCGCAAGCCUGAUCCAGCAAUGCCGCGUGCAGGAUGAAGGCCUUCGGGUUGUAAACUGCUUUUGUACGGAACGAAACGGCGAGCUCUAAUACAGUUUGCUAAUGACGGUACCGUAAGAAUAAGCACCGGCUAACUACGUGCAAGCAGCCGCGGUAAUACGUAGGGUGCAAGCGUUAAUCGGAAUUACUGGGCGUAAAGCGUGCGCAGGCGGUUAUGUAAGACAGAUGUGAAAUCCCCGGGCUUAACCUGGGAACUGCAUUUGUGACUGCAUAGCUAGAGUACGGUAGAGGGGGAUGGAAUUCCGCGUGUAGCAGUGAAAUGCGUAGAUAUGCGGAGGAACACCGAUGGCGAAGGCAAUCCCCUGGACCUGUACUGACGCUCAUGCACGAAAGCGUGGGGAGCAAACA